Molecule: ribosomal RNA, 506 nt
Filed under: uncultured bacterium
Lineage: Bacteria
Description: partial 16S ribosomal RNA
Rfam family: Bacterial small subunit ribosomal RNA
Source: RNAcentral
AGUGAACGCUGGCGGUAGGCCUAAUACAUGCAAGUCGAACGGCAGCACAGGAGAGCUUGCUCUCUGGGUGGCGAGUGGCGGACGGGUGAGGAAUACAUCGGAAUCUACUCUGUCGUGGGGGAUAACGUAGGGAAACUUACGCUAAUACCGCAUACGACCUACGGGUGAAAGCAGGGGAUCUUCGGACCUUGCGCGAUUGAAUGAGCCGAUGUCGGAUUAGCUAGUUGGCGGGGUAAAGGCCCACCAAGGCGACGAUCCGUAGCUGGUCUGAGAGGAUCAUCAGCCAAACUGGAACUGAGACACGGUCCAGACUCCUACGGGAGGCAGCAGUGGGGAAUAUUGGACAAUGGGCGCAAGCCUGAUCCAGCCAUACCGCGUGGGUGAAGAAGGCCUUCGGGUUGUAAAGCCCUUUUGUUGGGAAAGAAAUCCAGCUGGCUAAUACCCGGUUGGGAUGACGGUACCCAAAGAAUAAGCACCGGCUAACUUCGUGCCAGCAGCCGCCGCCG